UACGAAUCUUGCGAACGUUGUUCGGAAUCACUGGGCUUAAAGGGCGCGUAGGCUGCCAUCUAAGUCAGAGGUGAAAUCCCAUAGCUUAACUAUGGAAGUGCCUUUGAUACUGGAUGGCUCGAGGGAGGUAGGGGCAGAUGGAACUUCCGGUGGAGCGGUGAAAUGUGUUGAUAUCGGAAGGAACGCCGGUGGCGAAAGCGAUCUGCUGGACCUCUACUGACGCUGAGGCGCGAAAGCCAGGGGAGCAAACGGG
RNAcentral lists this ribosomal RNA (253 nucleotides) under uncultured bacterium. RNAcentral's name for it is "partial 16S ribosomal RNA". It matches the Rfam family "Bacterial small subunit ribosomal RNA", at positions 524 to 776 of the family's 1533-position model. The record is from RNAcentral.